This 860-nucleotide ribosomal RNA is filed under the name uncultured bacterium. RNAcentral's name for it is "bacterial SSU rRNA". It matches the Rfam family "Bacterial small subunit ribosomal RNA", at positions 46 to 918 of the family's 1533-position model. The record is from RNAcentral.
GGAUUAGGCAUGCAAGUCGAGCGGAUCCGUUGGGUACUCGAGCGGGUAAGGGACAGUAAGUCAGGGUCACGUGCCUUCAGGACUGGGAUAGCUGCGGGAAACUGCAAUUAAUACCAGAUAACGUCUCCGGACCAAAGGUGUGAGUCCGCCUGGAGAGCGGCCCAUAUCCUAUUAGCUAGUUGGUGGGGUAAUGGCCUACCAAGGCAAAGAUGGGUAGCAGGUGUGAGAGCACGACCUGCGUCACUGGGACUGAGAACUGCCCAGACACCUACGGGUGGCUGCAGUCGAGAAUCUUCGGCAAUGGGCGCAAGCCUGACCGAGCGACGCCGCGUGUGGGAUGAAGGCCUUCGGGUUGUAAACCACUGUCGGAGGGGAUGAAAUACCGGUAGGUACUCCUAUCGGUUUGACUGAUCCUCGGAGGAAGGGUGGGCUAAGUUCGUGCCAGCAGCCGCGGUAAGACGUACCACCCAAACGUUAUUCGGAAUCACUGGGCUUACAGAGUCCGUAGGCGGCUCGGAAAGUUGGGCGUGAAAUACCUCAGCUCAACUGAGGAAUUGCGAUCAAAACUACCGAGCUUGAGAGAGACAGAGGUGAGCGGAACUGAUGGUGGAGCGGUGAAAUGCGUUGAUAUCAUCAGGAACACCGGUGGCGAAGGCGGCUCACUGGGUCUUUUCUGACGCUGAGGGACGAAAGCUGGGGUAGCGAACGGGAUUAGAUACCCCCGGUAGUCCUAGCCUUAAACGAUGAGCACUAGAUCGAGGGGACCCUCACAUCCUCUUUGGUCGUACGGAAACUGUUAAGUGCUCCGCCUGGGGGAGUAUGGGUCCGCAAGGCUUGAAACUCAAAGGACUUUGACGGGG